Molecule: transfer RNA, 84 nt
Filed under: Neptunomonas antarctica
Lineage: Bacteria; Pseudomonadati; Pseudomonadota; Gammaproteobacteria; Oceanospirillales; Oceanospirillaceae
Description: tRNA_Leu_CAG
Rfam family: tRNA
About the family: Transfer RNA (tRNA) molecules are approximately 80 nucleotides in length.
Source: RNAcentral
GCAGAUGUGGUGGAAUUGGUAGACACGCUAGCUUCAGGUGCUAGUGCCCUCACGGGCGUGGGAGUUCGAGUCUCCCCAUCUGCA